RNAcentral lists this transfer RNA (65 nucleotides) under Tetrastichus howardi. RNAcentral's name for it is "tRNA-Thr". The record is from RNAcentral. Lineage: Eukaryota; Metazoa; Arthropoda; Insecta; Hymenoptera; Eulophidae.
UAAUAAUUUAAAUAAAUUAAUUUAAUUUAAAAAUAAAAUAUUAAAUUUGUAAUUUAAAAAUGUAU